AGCNGCCUNACAUGCAGUCGAGCGGAACGAUUCUAGCUUGCUAGAAGGCGUCGAGCGGCGGACGGGUGAGUAAUGCAUGGGAAUCUGCCCGAUAGUGGGGGACAACCUGGGGAAACUCAGGCUAAUACCGCAUACGUCCUACGGGAGAAAGCAGGGGAUCUUCGGACCUUGCGCUAUCGGAUGAGCCCAUGUCGGAUUAGCUUGUUGGUGAGGUAACGGCUCACCAAGGCGACGAUCCGUAGCUGGUCUGAGAGGAUGAUCAGCCACACUGGGACUGANACACGGCCCANACUCCUACGGGAGGCAGCAGUGGGGAAUAUUGGACAAUGGGCGAAAGCCUGAUCCAGCCAUGCCGCGUGUGUGAANAAGGCCUUCGGGUUGUAAAGCACUUUCNNCGAGGAAGAACGCUUCGGGAUUAAUACUCCCGAGGAAAGACAUCACUCGCAGAAGAAGCACCGGCUAACUCCGUGCCANCAGCCGCGGUAAUACGGAGGGUGCAAGCGUUAAUCGGAAUUACUGGGCNUAAAGCGCGCNUANGUGGCUAAGUCCCCCAGGUGUGAAAU
RNAcentral lists this ribosomal RNA (563 nucleotides) under Halomonas sp. RNAcentral's name for it is "bacterial SSU rRNA". It matches the Rfam family "Bacterial small subunit ribosomal RNA", at positions 44 to 600 of the family's 1533-position model. The record is from RNAcentral. Lineage: Bacteria; Pseudomonadati; Pseudomonadota; Gammaproteobacteria; Oceanospirillales; Halomonadaceae.